This is a non-coding RNA of Rhypophila decipiens, 72 nucleotides long. Lineage: Eukaryota; Fungi; Ascomycota; Sordariomycetes; Sordariales; Naviculisporaceae. The record is from the annotation of a GenBank genome assembly.
ACCCCUCUGGUGUAUCGGUUAACAUACCGGAUUCUCAUUCCGGUGCGCAGGGUUCGACUCCCUGGGGGGGUG